GGAUGAACGCUAGCUACAGGCUUAACACAUGCAAGUCGAGGGGCAGCAUGGUCUUAGCUUGCUAAGGCCGAUGGCGACCGGCGCACGGGUGAGUAACGCGUAUCCAACCUGCCUUACACUCUUGGACAGCCUUCUGAAAGGGAGAUUAAUACAAGAUGUUAUCAUGAGUAAGCAUUUUCGCAUGAUUAAAGGUUUACCGGUGUAAGAUGGGGAUGCGUUCCAUUAGAUAGUAGGCGGGGUAACGGCCCACCUAGUCUUCGAUGGAUAGGGGUUCUGAGAGGAAGGUCCCCCACAUUGGAACUGAGACACGGUCCAAACUCCUACGGGAGGCAGCAGUGAGGAAUAUUGGUCAAUGGACGAGAGUCUGAACCAGCCAAGUAGCGUGAAGGAUGAAGGUUCUAUGGAUUGUAAACUUCUUUUAUACGGGAAUAAACGAAUCCACGCGUGGAUUUUUGCAUGUACCGUAUGAAUAAGGAUCGGCUAACUCCGUGCCAGCAGCCGCGGUAAUACGGAGGAUCCGAGCGUUAUCCGGAUUUAUUGGGUUUAAAGGGAGCGUAGAUGGGUUGUUAAGUCAGUUGUGAAAGUUUGCGGCUCAACCGUAAAAUUGCAAUUGAUACUGGCAGUCUUGAGUACAGUUGAGGUAGGCGGAAUUCGUGGUGUAGCGGUGAAAUGCUUAGAUAUCACGAGGAACUCCGAUUGCGAAGGCAGCUUACUAACCUGUAACUGACAUUGAUGCUCGAAAGUGUGGGUAUCAAACAGGAUUAGAUACCCUGGUAGUCCACACGGUAAACGAUGAAUACUCGCUGUAGGCGAUAUACAGUCUGCGGCCAAGCGAAAGCAUUAAGUAUUCCACCUGGGGAGUACGCCGGCAACGGUGAAACUCAAAGGAAUUGACGGGGGCCCGCACAAGCGGAGGAACAUGUGGUUUAAUUCGAUGAUACGCGAGGAACCUUACCCGGGCUUAAAUUGCAACCGAAUAUGGCGGAAACGCUAUAGCUAGCAAUAGCGGUUGUGAAGGUGCUGCAUGGUUGUCGUCAGCUCGUGCCGUGAGGUGUCGGCUUAAGUGCCAUAACGAGCGCAACCCUUGCCGAUAGUUACUAACAGGUUAUGCUGAGGACUCUGUCGGGACUGCCAUCGUAAGAUGUGAGGAAGGUGGGGAUGACGUCAAAUCAGCACGGCCCUUACGUCCGGGGCUACACACGUGUUACAAUGGGGGGUACAGAGGGCUGCUACCACGCAAGUGGAUGCCAAUCCCAAAAACCUCUCUCAGUUCGGAUUGAAGUCUGCAACCCGACUUCAUGAAGCUGGAUUCGCUAGUAAUCGCGCAUCAGCCACGGCGCGGUGAAUACGUUCCCGGGCCUUGUACACACCGCCCGUCAAGCCAUGGGAGCCGGGGGUACCUGAAGUGCGUAACCGCAAGGAGCGCCCUAGGGUA
This 1435-nucleotide ribosomal RNA is filed under the name uncultured organism. Its description in RNAcentral is "16S ribosomal RNA". It matches the Rfam family "Bacterial small subunit ribosomal RNA". The record is from RNAcentral.